CCAGAAGUUUUGUGGCUUAAACCACAAUGUCCACGUCAAUAUCAAGACACCAAAGAUUGUGGAUAUUAUGUAUGUCGCUACAUGCAAGAGAUAAUAACAAGGAGACAACAAGUAGUUCCAGAAAAGUACUUUCCCCAAGCUCCCGCUACUUAUCAUCAAGAAAUGAUAGACGAGAUACGAGACACUUUGGUUACAUAUGUUUUUAAGCAAAAAGAAGUCAGUGAUGAUGGUAUGGCUGAUGAUCAUGAAUGAUUAUUGCACAUUUUUAAACAUCGUAUAUAUAUUUUGGGAUACAAGGAUUUUUUCUUAUGGAGGCCAAUGAUUAAAGUUUAGACUUCGGAGAAUUUUAGAUUUUGUUUUAUUUUUAUUUUUUUAUUAGAAAAUGGAUAGUGAUGCUUAGUGAAUUAUUGGCUUAUAAUGUACAUAAUGUACAGUGUGUAAUUAAAUAUAUUUAGUGAAGUAUUAAAUUAUUCAGCCCAAUUUGAUAUUGUUGUGGUUAUUUAAUAUUAAAUACUACAGGUAUACAGGUACAUAUAUAUAGUAGGUUGAAGCAAUUUUAUUUGUUAUCAAUUUGGAUAGCUUCACCCCAACGAACAUAUAGUACA
Long non-coding RNA from Chenopodium quinoa (quinoa), 605 nucleotides. RefSeq lists it as uncharacterized. The transcript is spliced from 3 exons. The record is from RefSeq and is a predicted model, not a curated record. NCBI's taxonomy places the organism in Eukaryota, Viridiplantae, Streptophyta, Magnoliopsida, Caryophyllales, Amaranthaceae.